RNAcentral lists this ribosomal RNA (497 nucleotides) under uncultured bacterium. RNAcentral describes it as "partial 16S ribosomal RNA". It matches the Rfam family "Bacterial small subunit ribosomal RNA", at positions 28 to 507 of the family's 1533-position model. The record is from RNAcentral.
GAUGAACGCUGGCGGCGUGCCUAAUACAUGCAAGUCGAGCGAACAGACGAGGAGCUUGCUCCUCUGACGUUAGCGGCGGACGGGUGAGUAACACGUGGAUAACCUACCUAUAAGACUGGGAUAACUUCGGGAAACCGGAGCUAAUACCGGAUAAUAUAUUGAACCGCAUGGUUCAAUAGUGAAAGACGGUUUUGCUGUCACUUCUAGAUGGAUCCGCGCCGCAUUAGCUAGUUGGUAAGGUAACGGCUUACCAAGGCAACGAUGCGUAGCCGACCUGAGAGAGUGAUCGGCCACACUGGAACUGGGACACGGUCCAGACUCCUACGAGAGGCAGCAGUAGGGAAUCUUCCGCAAUGGGCGAAAGCCUGACGGAGCAACGCCGCGUGAGUGAUGAAGGUCUUCGGAUCGUAAAACUCUGUUAUUAGGGAAGAACAAAUGUGUAAGUAACUGUGCACGUCUUGACGGUACCUAAUCAGAAAGCCACGGCUAACUACGUG